AAUAGAUACCCGGGUAGUCCACGCCCUAAACGAUGUCAACUAGCUGUUGGGGCCUUCGGGCCUUGGUAGCGCAGCUAACGCGUGAAGUUGACCGCCUGGGGAGUACGGUCGCAAGAUUAAAACUCAAAGGAAUUGACGGGGACCCGCACAAGCGGUGGAUGAUGUGGAUUAAUUCGAUGCAACGCGAAAAACCUUACCUACCCUUGACAUGUCUGGAAUGCCGAAGAGAUUUGGCAGUGCUCGCAAGAGAACCGGAACACAGGUGCUGCAUGGCUGUCGUCAGCUCGUGUCGUGAGAUGUUGGGUUAAGUCCCGCAACGAGCGCAACCCUUGUCAUUAGUUGCUACGAAAGGGCACUCUAAUGAGACUGCCGGUGACAAACCGGAGGAAGGUGGGGAUGACGUCAAGUCCUCAUGGCCCUUAUGGGUAGGGCUUCACACGUCAUACAAUGGUCGAGACAGAGGGUCGCCAACCCGCGAGGGGAGCCAAUCCCAGAAACCCGAUCGUAGUCCGGAUCGCAGUCUGCAACUCGACG
RNAcentral lists this ribosomal RNA (534 nucleotides) under uncultured bacterium. RNAcentral's name for it is "bacterial SSU rRNA". It matches the Rfam family "Bacterial small subunit ribosomal RNA", at positions 777 to 1317 of the family's 1533-position model. The record is from RNAcentral.